UGGGGAAUAUUGCACAAUGGGCGAAAGCCUGAUGCAGCGACGCCGCGUGGGGGAUGACGGCCUUCGGGUUGUAAACCCCUUUCAGCAGGGAAGAAGCGUAAGUGACGGUACCUGCAGAAGAAGCGCCGGCUAACUACGUGCCAGCAGCCGCGGUAAUACGUAGGGCGCAAGCGUUAUCCGGAAUUAUUGGGCGUAAAGAGCUCGUAGGCGGUUUGUCGCGUCGGCCGUGAAAAACUCAACGCUUAACGUUGAGCUUGCGGUCGAUACGGGCAGACUUGAGUUCGGUAGGGGAGACUGGAAUUCCCGGUGUAGCGGUGAAAUGCGCAGAUAUCGGGAGGAACACCAAUGGCGAAGGCAGCUCGCUGGGACGUGACUGACGCUGAGACGCGAAAGCGUGGGGAGCAAACAGGAUUAGAUACC
This 420-nucleotide ribosomal RNA is filed under the name uncultured bacterium. Its description in RNAcentral is "bacterial SSU rRNA". It matches the Rfam family "Bacterial small subunit ribosomal RNA", at positions 355 to 786 of the family's 1533-position model. The record is from RNAcentral.